GUUAAACAUAAAGAGCGUAGGGUGGAUGCCUAGGCACUGACAGCCGAAGAAAGACGUGACAAGCUGCGAAAAGCUGCGGGGAGAAGCACAUAUUCAGUGAUCCGCAGAUGUCUGAAUGGGGAAACCCGCUUGGAAGGACUCCAAGCAUCUGUACGCCAAUACAUAACGUACAGAGGGGAACCCGGUGAACUGAAACAUCUAAGUAGCCGGAGGAAAAGAAAACAAAAGUGAUUGCGAAAGUAGCGGCGAGCGAAAUCGUAAAAGCCCAAACCGCGGUGCGUGCACUGCGGGGUAGAGGACUGCAAUACGAGUAAGAUAUAUUACCUGAACCGUUUUGGAAAAGCGGGCCAAAGAGCGUGAGAGCCGUGUAAGGGAAAAUAUAUUGAAUCAAGCAGUAUCCGGAGUACCACGAGACACGAGAAACCUUGUGGGAAGCAGGGGGGACCACCCCCCAAGGCUAAAUACUUGUCAGUGACCGAUAGCGUAUAGUACUGUGAAGGAAAGGUGAAAAGAACCCCGGGAGGGGAGUGAAAAAGAACCUGAAACCCUAUGUUUACAAACUGUGGAACACCGAAAGGUGAACCGCGUACUUUUUGUAGAACGGUCCGGCGAGUUACAUGUACAGGCAAGGUUAAGUAUUAAAGAUACGGAGCCGAAGGGAAACCAAGUCUUAACAGGGCGAGAUAAGUCAGUAUGUGUAGACCCGAAACCGGGUGAUCUAUCCAUGUCCAGGUUGAAGUUCGCGUAAAAGUGAAUGGAGGACCGAACGCACAUCCGUUGAAAAGGGUGGCGAUGAGGUGUGGAUAGGGGAGAAAUUCCAAUCGAACCCGGAGAUAGCUGGUUCUCCUCGAAAUAGUUUUAGGACUAGCCUCGUUAUUAGUCUACCGGAGGUAGAGCACUGAAUUUUUGCGGGGGCGUCAAAGCCUACCAAGAGAUAUCAAACUCCGAAUGCCGGCUAGAUGAUUAACGGGAGUCAGACUGCACGAGAUAAGUUGGGUAGUCAAAAGGGAAAGAGCCCGGACCCGCGGCUAAGGUCCCAAAGUGUGUGUUAAGUGGAAAAGGAUGUGGGAUUUCAAAGACAGCUAGGAUGUUGGCUUAGAAGCAGCCAUACAUUAAAAGAGUGCGUAACAGCUCACUAGUCGAGAGGUCCUGCGCCGAAAAUGUCCGGGGCUAAACACAACACCGAAGCCUGGGAAUGUAUUUUAUACAUUGGUAGAGGAGCAUUCUUAUAAGCGUAGAAGCCAUACCGAAAGGAGUGGUGGAGUAAUAAGAAGAGAGAAUGCCGGAAUGAGUAGCGAGAAAGAGGUGAGAAUCCUCUUGGCCGAAUAUCUAAGGUUUCCUGAGUAAAGCUGAUCUGCUCAGGGUAAGUCGGGGCCUAAGGCAAGGGAGAAAUCCGUAGUCGAUGGAUAACAGGUACAGAUUCCUGUACUACAUAUAAUCAGAACUGUGGGGACACGGAGACUGAAAACCGAACCCGGGAGGACAAAAACCGGGGCAAGCGAAGUACCUGUAUGGGAGGAAAACCCACCAUACAAAGGGAAGACGUGAUGCGUACCGAAAAAUAGUAGGGAAGUCGGUUAGGGAGCCGUCAAGAAAAGCCGCUAUUGUGUUAUAUGUACCCGUACCGCAAACCGACACAGGUAGAUGAGGAGAGAAUCCUAAGGCCGGCGGGAGAAGCAUUGUUAAGGAACUCGGCAAAAUGACCCCGUAACUUCGGGAGAAGGGGUGCCACUUUAAUAGAGUGGUCGCAGAAAAAAGGCUCAAGCAACUGUUUAGCAAAAACACAGGUCUAUGCGAAACCGUAAGGUGAAGUAUAUGGGCUGACGCCUGCCCGGUGCCGGAAGGUUAAGAGGAGAAGUCAGGAAACGAAGCUUUGAAUUGAAGCCCCGGUAAACGGCGGCCGUAACUAUAACGGUCCUAAGGUAGCGAAAUUCCUUGUCGGGU
This 1944-nucleotide ribosomal RNA is filed under the name human metagenome. RNAcentral describes it as "bacterial LSU rRNA". It matches the Rfam family "Bacterial large subunit ribosomal RNA", at positions 1 to 1977 of the family's 2925-position model. The record is from RNAcentral.